GUGCUUGCUUCAGCAGCACAUAUACAAAGAUUGGAAGAAAAAAUUAGCAUGACCCUUCUGCAAGGAUGACAUGCAAAUUUGUGAUGUUCCAUAUUUUU
Molecule: small nuclear RNA, 98 nt
Filed under: Catagonus wagneri (Chacoan peccary)
Lineage: Eukaryota; Metazoa; Chordata; Mammalia; Artiodactyla; Tayassuidae
Source: RNAcentral